This 195-nucleotide ribosomal RNA is filed under the name Escherichia coli. Its description in RNAcentral is "partial 16S ribosomal RNA". It matches the Rfam family "Bacterial small subunit ribosomal RNA", at positions 1 to 187 of the family's 1533-position model. The record is from RNAcentral. Lineage: Bacteria; Pseudomonadati; Pseudomonadota; Gammaproteobacteria; Enterobacterales; Enterobacteriaceae.
UUAAAUUGAAGAGUUUGAUCAUGGCUCAGAUUGAACGCUGGCGGCAGGCCUAACACAUGCAAGUCGAACGGUAACAGGAAGCAGCUUGCUGCUUUGCUGACGAGUGGCGGACGGGUGAGUAAUGUCUGGGAAAUUGCCAGAUGGAUGGGGAUAACUACUGGAAACGUUAUCUAAUACCGCAUUACGUCGCAAGAC